Molecule: ribosomal RNA, 553 nt
Filed under: Salmonella enterica subsp. enterica serovar Enteritidis
Lineage: Bacteria; Pseudomonadati; Pseudomonadota; Gammaproteobacteria; Enterobacterales; Enterobacteriaceae
Description: partial 23S ribosomal RNA
Rfam family: Bacterial large subunit ribosomal RNA
Source: RNAcentral
GAUAAGCGCCGGUAAGGUGAUAUGAACCGUUAUAACCGGCGAUACCCGAAUGGGGAAACCCAGUGUGACUCGUCACACUAUCAUUAACUGAAUCCAUAGGUUAAUGAGGCGAACCGGGGGAACUGAAACAUCUAAGUACCCCGAGGAAAAGAAAUCAACCGAGAUUCCCCCAGUAGCGGCGAGCGAACGGGGAGGAGCCCAGAGCCUGAAUCAGCAUGUGUGUUAGUGGAAGCGUCUGGAAAGGCGCGCGAUACAGGGUGACAGCCCCGUACACAAAAGCGCAUGUGCUGUGAGCUCGAUGAGUAGGGCGGGACACGUGGUAUCCUGUCUGAAUAUGGGGGGACCAUCCUCCAAGGCUAAAUACUCCUGACUGACCGAUAGUGAACCAGUACCGUGAGGGAAAGGCGAAAAGAACCCCGGCGAGGGGAGUGAAAAAGAACCUGAAACCGUGUACGUACAAGCAGUGGGAGCACCCUUUGGGUGUGACUGCGUACCUUUUGUAUAAUGGGUCAGCGACUUAUAUUCUGUAGCAAGGUUAACCGAAUAGGGGAGC